UGAAAAGAACAAAGUUUUGUCCAUCUUUGUUCAUCAUAGCCUAAAGUUAGGGAAGAGAAAGGAGAGGAGAAAGCUCUUGAAUGUUCGGUCACUUAGGGAAGAAAAUUGAAGGCGGUUCGUGUGUGGAUCUCGUCAGCAUAUCGUCGCAAACAGGUAAUCCCCAACCAUAGUGGGCUUGGAGCUGUGAGGGAAUUCGGAGUGGCCACCCGUUCUGAAAGUUUGAUUUUCUUCUGGUGAACUGGACAUCCUUUUAUUUACGUUUGAAGUUUUGGGUUUUUAAAUGUAAUAAGGCCGCUUAUUUAUUUUUGAUGGUUUUUAAUAUGUAUUACUAAGAUAGGUAAUACUUAUUUUAACUGUUGAAA
Gossypium arboreum is the source of this 362-nucleotide long non-coding RNA. RefSeq lists it as uncharacterized. The record is from RefSeq and is a predicted model, not a curated record. NCBI's taxonomy places the organism in Eukaryota, Viridiplantae, Streptophyta, Magnoliopsida, Malvales, Malvaceae. The transcript has 3 exons.